AGUUAAAUUCUCAUUUAAAUCUGAUAAACAAAAGUCAUUUCUAACAUUUUUUAACCAAGUCUUUUUAGGUAUACCUCUACUUUUUUUAACAAAAGUUAAAUCUAAUACUUCUAAUUUCCUAACCAGGUAAUCAAAAAGGCCACCAUUUUAUGUGACCAAACCAUCUAAGACGACUCCCUCUAAUCUUAUCUUCCAUUGGAGCUACUCCAAGCUGAAUGAGUCGCUAAAAAGCUUCUUCGCCUUCGUCGACGACGUUUCCUCCCUGUCGGAUCGGAAGUCACGACGGUUCGCAUCAUUAUUCUUGUUCGUGCUGGAUCGAAGGCAACCAAACAACCCUUAAAAAAGCACCGAAGGGAGAAGGAGCUCAAGAGGAUUGAAUAUACUGAAGCAAUGUUGUAGCCCCGACUGCCUCCUUGAAAGAACAUGAAGCCCUUUGAUGUGAUUACAAGUGAUUAUGAUCAAGGGAUUUCGGUUCAUCAUGCAGGUGCUACAGAGGGCAAGACAGCCAAACUAAUCUGACUAAAUUUGAGAACGCCAUCAUCGAGUUCAUUAUUUGUGAACUCUUAGGUGUUAACAUGUUGAAACCGAAGUGACAUCUAGGGCUGCAAAUGAAUCGAGUAGAGACGAACAUGUGCUUGUUCAUGUUUGAACUCGUUUAUUAUCAGCUUACUUGAACUCAGUUCAUGCUCUCAAUUCUAGCUUUUAUGUUUGUAAUCAAGCUUUGUUCGUUUAAAAUGACAAAUGUUUAUGUUUGGUUCAUGA
Molecule: long non-coding RNA, 762 nt
Organism: Dendrobium catenatum
Lineage: Eukaryota; Viridiplantae; Streptophyta; Magnoliopsida; Asparagales; Orchidaceae
Exons: 3
Source: RefSeq, a predicted model, not a curated record